GGCCUGAUGGUCUAGCGGUAUGAUUCUUGCUUCGGGAGUGACAUCUCAGUCUUAUCAAGAGACUAUAGUUUGCGAGAGGUCCCGGGUUCAAUCCCCGGUCAGGCCC
Molecule: transfer RNA, 106 nt
Filed under: Fusarium graminearum
Lineage: Eukaryota; Fungi; Ascomycota; Sordariomycetes; Hypocreales; Nectriaceae
Also listed under: 1 other name
Description: tRNA-Pro
Rfam family: tRNA
About the family: Transfer RNA (tRNA) molecules are approximately 80 nucleotides in length. Their secondary structure includes four short double-helical elements and three loops (D, anti-codon, and T loops).
Source: RNAcentral